AGGGGCUGACAUACUUAAAGAACCAUGGCUAGAGGAACCAGGAAAAGAAACCAAUAGGAUCUGAGAGUGAAGGCUGUGUUCACAGUGAAGGUCACCACAGCCUGAGCCCCAAUGAUCCAGAUCAUGGCCACGUCCCUCUUCUUACCCUGCCAGCCUCAGAACACCCUCAUGUCAAGUGCAAACAGCAACACCAUGUGAAGGAGGAAAUCGCCUUUGUCUCAGCUCCGUGCUCAGUGAUGUUUGUCAGAGAUGACACCUAUUCAAUACCCCAGCUUCACAGGCAGCAGAAGUAAGAGAACUGGCAUGAUCCACCACAAGUCACCACAAGACCUGCAGCCAUGAACACGUGUGUGCUUUCUCCUCACAACUCCUCCAAGCAUGGAGUGCUAUGAUCAUAGAGAAAGAGAAAGAAGGCGAGAGUUUGAUGAGAACUGUGUGCAACAGCUGCCCGAAGACCUUGGACCCCACUUGACAAUCAAGCAGUGACCGUAGAGUUCCAUGACUAUGGACAUACUACAGCAAAGAUGGCUAGAAGUGCUAAGGAAUAAGCAAGAACCCAAGAAAACUGCUAGCAUUUUGGGUAUUACCAGUUUCCAGACCAGUGAUGGUUUUCUAGUCCUGAAAGGAGGCUACUGAAACGAUCCCCGCCUUGAGUGCUCAGGAGGCCACACUGGGCGCUGCCGUGUGCAGGGGAGCAUCUUCAGCAAGCAGGGAGCAGCCCUUGAAGGGCAUCAGCAGCUGCACUGAGAACAGAUCACCACCUUCCAAGUUCUCUGGUUUCUCACAGGGUUCUCCUACUCUCAUCUCCAGAAAAGGUAACAUUCUCUGGCUUAGGCUGCAACUUUUGGGGACACUUCGACUUCUCCAUUCA
Molecule: long non-coding RNA, 871 nt
Organism: Fukomys damarensis (Damara mole-rat)
Lineage: Eukaryota; Metazoa; Chordata; Mammalia; Rodentia; Bathyergidae
Exons: 6
Source: RefSeq, a predicted model, not a curated record